AUUGCGGAAACACUGCAGCCACACUGCUGCGUUGUUCACGAUAUAAUGCUGAAGGAGAACCAUGCGUGUAGGUGUUCCGAGACGUGCACACCUUCUGGGGGGGAGGGUGUAACCCGGAUUAUGGCAUGAGGCAAUGGGGAGCGGACAUAACCAAAAUCUAUAUUGACUUAAAAGAGUAGCGUCGUUAAAAAAUUAUUUAAUUAAACAGAAUUGAAUAUUGCCGUGGCCCGAGCGAAUCAGGGCACAAAAUACUAGUGGGGUGUCAGCGAAUGAGAGGUGCAGUUUUUCACCUUCGUGACGUCACGAGCGUGCGGCGCAACCUAUCUCGGUCUCUUUUUCUGGCGGGACCUGAACGCGAGCGGACGUAUUCUUCGCCGUUGUGAGGAAGUGUUUCGGGAGAAAGAGAGUCAUUCUACGCAACCUCGAGUACUGCACUGGGCUAACGUAGCUGUUAGCAUUACGUACCGCCGGGAUUUCGCCGCCCGUAUAACAUCGUCGGAGUAUCGUUCAACGUUCUUCUGGCCGGGUCUUUUGUGGAGUUUCAAUUGAGGACAGCGCUG
Long non-coding RNA from Hippocampus zosterae (dwarf seahorse), 560 nucleotides. RefSeq lists it as uncharacterized. The transcript has 3 exons. The record is from RefSeq and is a predicted model, not a curated record. Lineage: Eukaryota; Metazoa; Chordata; Actinopteri; Syngnathiformes; Syngnathidae.